Molecule: ribosomal RNA, 424 nt
Filed under: uncultured bacterium
Lineage: Bacteria
Description: bacterial SSU rRNA
Rfam family: Bacterial small subunit ribosomal RNA
Source: RNAcentral
GAUGAACGCUAGCGGCGCGCCUUAUGCAUGCAAGUCGAACGGUCUCUCGCAAGAGAGAUAGUGGCAAACGGGUGAGUAAUAGAUAAAUAACCUGCCUUUAAGUGGGGGAUAACACUUCGAAAGAAGUGCUAAUACCGCAUGUGAUGCUCUUUCAUAAGAAGGAUCAUUAAAACCGCAAGGUGCUUGAAGAGGGGUUUGUCUCCGAUUAGCUUGUUGGUGGGGUAACGGCCUACCAAGGCAAUGAUCGGUAGCUGGUCUGAGAGGAUGGUCAGCCACACUGGAACUGAGACACGGUCCAGACUCCUACGGGAGGCAGCAGCAAGGAAUCUUGGGCAAUGGGCGAAAGCCUGACCCAGCGACGCCGCGUGAGGGAUGAAGGCCUUCGGGUUGUAAACCUCUUUUCUCAGGGAAGAAUAAUGACGGU